AACGAACGCUGGCGGCAGGCCUAACACAUGCAAGUCGAACGCCCUAGCAAUAGGGAGUGGCAGACGGGUGAGUAACACGUGGGAACCUUCCCUACACUACGGAAUAGCCCAGGGAAACUUGGAGUAAUACCGUAUACGCCCGAGAGGGGAAAGAUUUAUCGGUAUAGGAUGGGCCCGCGUCGGAUUAGCUAGUUGGUGAGGUAAUGGCUCACCAAGGCGACGAUCCGUAGCUGGUUUGAGAGAACGACCAGCCACACUGGGACUGAGACACGGCCCAGACUCCUACGGGAGGCAGCAGUGGGGAAUAUUGGACAAUGGGCGCAAGCCUGAUCCAGCCAUGCCGCGUGAGUGAUGAAGGCCUUAGGGAUGUAAAGCUCUUUUGCCGGGGACGAUAAUGACGGUACCCGGAGAAUAAGUCCCGGCUAACUUCGUGCCAGCCGCCGCUGUAA
This 449-nucleotide ribosomal RNA is filed under the name uncultured bacterium. Its description in RNAcentral is "partial 16S ribosomal RNA". It matches the Rfam family "Bacterial small subunit ribosomal RNA", at positions 29 to 523 of the family's 1533-position model. The record is from RNAcentral.